RNAcentral lists this long non-coding RNA (386 nucleotides) under Salvia miltiorrhiza (redroot sage). RNAcentral's name for it is "long non-coding RNA (SMIL_LNC001118)". Lineage: Eukaryota; Viridiplantae; Streptophyta; Magnoliopsida; Lamiales; Lamiaceae. The record is from RNAcentral.
GUUCGUCCUCUCUCUCUCGAAUUCACGGCCGCCGCGGAAGCCCCUUUUCCGGCGAGGAGCCGCCGACGCGCGUCGUCUCCGGUCAUCCUCAACAUCACCCUCGACUGAUCGGAACCCUAGUCCCUCUAUUCUCCUCUCUUCCGGUGACUACAGCAGCGACGAGCCGCUGCUGUGCCUGAACCCUAGCCACUCCAAUCCAGUCGCCCUUAGCCUCCUCUCUUCUCUCCCUCUGUCCGUGGCCGAGCGACAGCGGCAGGGCCGCCGCGCCCUGGCCUCCCUCUGCGAAAACCUAGCCUAAUCUAGCCACCGCCCCAACCCUUGUUCUCUCCUUCUCCAACAACAGCCAAGGUCAAGGCUCACACACACAACCAUCGAAGCAGUCGCCC